Molecule: small nucleolar RNA, 115 nt
Filed under: Tupaia belangeri chinensis (Chinese tree shrew)
Lineage: Eukaryota; Metazoa; Chordata; Mammalia; Scandentia; Tupaiidae
Description: Tupaia chinensis (Chinese tree shrew) Small nucleolar RNA SNORA70
Rfam family: Small nucleolar RNA SNORA70
About the family: snoRNA U70 seems to be exclusive to mammals and is a member of the H/ACA class of snoRNA which contain H (ANANNA) and ACA box motifs. H/ACA box snoRNAs are involved in the conversion of uridines to pseudouridines (5-ribosyluracil) a constituent of structural RNAs (transfer, ribosomal, small nuclear, and small nucleolar).
Source: Rfam by way of RNAcentral
AGGCUGCCAGUUAAGCUGACUACGCUCUUUUCUCUGUGGGAGCCUGGUAUGAAUGUUCCUUUCUCUGUGGUAGUGUCUAUGCCUGUUGCUUGUGUGGGUGGCCUUAGAGACAGAU